Long non-coding RNA from Nymphalis io (European peacock), 1434 nucleotides. RefSeq lists it as uncharacterized. The transcript is spliced from 3 exons. Lineage: Eukaryota; Metazoa; Arthropoda; Insecta; Lepidoptera; Nymphalidae. The record is from RefSeq and is a predicted model, not a curated record.
AAUUGGUUUAUAACAAUAUCACAGUGCGGAAUGUAAAUUUAAACAUUACUGUGACUUGAAAUUUUAUGUUAUUAUCCUAAUUAAGGAUGAAAGAUACCUUAAAUGAUGUGAUAAUUUUUAUAGAAUGGAAUAUAAAUCUCGAGCAAGCCCAGAACAGUUUGCAGCUUUAUUGGAAUUCAUGGAAAGUUAUGGCGAUAUAACGAGGCCCCAUCAAGAGCUCUAAGGCCGAAUUAAAGCUGACCGACUGUAGCGGGAAUUAGAAGAAUUGUUAAACGCCAUAGGUAGAGGAGUAGUAAAGCAAACAGACAAAUGAAAAAAACAACAACAUCAGUAUUUACUGCCCCUUCUUCACUGCCACUUCCUCCACCACCAUUGCUCACGCACAGGCCGGGUUCAAACACCCUUCGAACGAACCAAAAGCGAGUUUGUGGCUGUUGAGAAUCGCCGGCUGCAAUUAGAGGUAAACUGGAAAAGAAAUAACUAUCAGAGGGACUGGAAAGGCUACGAUUGGAAUCGAGAAGAAUUGAAAUAGAAGAAAACCAUAAUCAAAUUUUAAGUCAUUUAGCUAAUACUGUAGACAAAUUGCUAGAAAUUUUACCGCAGUUGAGACCAUCAUCAGUUCAACAGAUAUUCCAUAAAAUGUCUGAUGUAGUAAUAGUGGUCUCAGCUGUGGGAUAUGAACAUUUCAAAUUGCCUACAAUAUUAGUUUUUUUUAUUUUUUUUUUACUUUAUCAUUUUAUUUCUUUCGAUUAGUAUAAAUGAUCUUUUUGUUGUAGUAUAAUAUUUGUUGUGUAAACAACAUCCUAAUUUUUAAUUUAACCCUUAGCCCACCAGUGGAACAUUCACAGGCUGUUACUAUUAUUUAUUUAAUAUCUGAGUAUAUUACAUUCAAAAUACAAUUAACUGGACCUGUUCAAAAGACAAACAAUAUCUUAUUAUUAAUAUUUAUAUAAGAUAAAUUAAAUGUAGAGUACAGAAAAAUUUCAAUUUAUAAUUAGGAAAUGUAAAAUAAAAUCUUAUUAAAGCUUAAAAUAAUCUUACUAUAUCCUAUUCAAUAAGCAACUCAGCAUGGCUCUUCCUUGGAUUACUUCACUUUGGCUACCUACAGACACAGAGAGUGUGGGAUUUUGCAUGAUUAAUAUAAUCAUGCAAAAUCCCCAUUAUCAUGUGCAGCAGGAAGUGGUUGUGGUGGUGGCAAGCCAACUUGCAAAGCUAUAUUAUUUAACACACAACAUGCCAUUGUAAUGUUACUAGCUACAUGAGGAUGACAGUGCAUAACCCUGUCUUUAAGCAAACAUCUCCACCAUGCUUUGAGUAAUCCAAAACAGAGCACAAUACAGUUACGGCUUUGCACAUGCAUUUGAGUGUAUCGGUCUUCCCUAGAACCUUGAACUGCAUUGAGGAUAGGUGUCAUAAGCCAAGGGCGAUGCGGAU